UACGGAAGGCAGCAGUGGGGAAUAUUGGACAAUGGGCGAAAGCCUGAUCCAGCCAUGCCGCAUGAGUGAAGAAGGCCUUCGGGUUGUAAAGCUCUUUUAGUGAGAAAGAUAAUGACGGUACUCACAGAAGAAGUCCUGGCUAACUCCGUGCCAGCAGCCGCGGUAAUACGGAGAGGGCUAGCGUUAUUCGGAAUUAUUGGGCGUAAAGAGCGCGUAGGCUGAUUAGUAAGUUAAAAAGUGAAAUCCCAAAGCUUAACUUUGGAAUUGCUUUUUAAAAACUGCUAGUCUAGAGAUUGAAAGAGGAUAGAGGAAUUCCUAGUGUAGAGGUGAAAUUCGUAAAUAUUAGGAGGAAACACCAGUGGCGAAGGCGUCUAUCUGGUUCAAAUCUGACGCUGAGGCGCGAAAGGGCGUGGGGAGCAAAACAGGGAUUAGAUACC
Molecule: ribosomal RNA, 437 nt
Filed under: uncultured bacterium
Lineage: Bacteria
Description: bacterial SSU rRNA
Rfam family: Bacterial small subunit ribosomal RNA
Source: RNAcentral